Long non-coding RNA from Ostrea edulis (European flat oyster), 382 nucleotides. RefSeq lists it as uncharacterized. The transcript is spliced from 2 exons. NCBI's taxonomy places the organism in Eukaryota, Metazoa, Mollusca, Bivalvia, Ostreida, Ostreidae. The record is from RefSeq and is a predicted model, not a curated record.
CUUUGCUAAACAAUGCUGUUAGGAAGCAGAAUUCAAUAUUUAGCAUUUGCUUUAAUCAGACAUAUAGAAUUGAGAACUAGUUUGUAGCUUAAUGUUUUCUAUUUAUACUUAAUGGGAGAAUAUAAUUGAGUUUUACAUACAUGUACUUCGGUGACACAACGGUGUUUGAGUUAUAUGUGUGUUUCAGUAUAUUUACAGUGUUUAUUUUAUUAAUAGGUCUAAAUGUAGGUGAUCAGUGUAUUACGUUGACCUUGACCUGUCGUGGUGGCCAUUUUUUGGGCCGGAUAUUGCGUGCCUUGUUUAGGAGCACUGUCAUUGAUUCAUUCAUUGAUUCAUCAUUGAUUGAUCACAUUACACUACAACUGUGAAUAAAAGGUGAAAA